RNAcentral lists this ribosomal RNA (661 nucleotides) under uncultured bacterium. RNAcentral's name for it is "bacterial SSU rRNA". It matches the Rfam family "Bacterial small subunit ribosomal RNA", at positions 93 to 740 of the family's 1533-position model. The record is from RNAcentral.
GAGUGGCGAACGGGUGGGUAACGCGUGAAGAACCUGCCUUCAACAGGGGGAUAACACUCCCAACGGGGUGCUAAUACCGCAUGAGACCACGGGGUCGCAUGGCCCAGGGGUCAAAGGUGGCCUCUACCCGGUUGAAGAUGGCUUCGCGUCCCAUUAGCUAGUUGGCGGUGUAAGAGACCACCAAGGCGACGAUGGGUAGCUGGUCUGAGAGGAUGGUCAGCCACACUGGGACUGAGAUACGGCCCAGACUCCUACGGGAGGCAGCAGUCGAGAGGCUUUGGCAAUGGGGGAAACCCUGACCAAGCGACGCCGCGUGGAGGAUGAAGGCCUUUGGGUUGUAAACUCCUUUUGUCGGGGAAGAAAUGCGAUCAGGUGAACAAUCUGGUCGUUUGACGGUACUCGACGAAUAAGCUCCGGCUAACUCCGUGCCAGCAGCCGCGGUAACACGGGGGGAGCAAGCGUUGUUCGGAAUCACUGGGCGUAAAGGGCGUGUAGGCGGUCAGGUAAGUGGAAUGUGAAAUCCCUCGGCUCACCCGAGGACCUGCAUCCCAAACUGCCUGGCUUGAGUAUGGGAGAGGAUGAGGGAAUUCCUGGUGUAGCGGUGAAAUGCGUAGAUAUCAGGAGGAACACCGGUGGCGAAGGCGCUCAUCUGGCCCAAUAC